UGGGGAAUUUUGGACAAUGGGCGAAAGCCUGAUCCAGCAAUGCCGCGUGUGUGAAGAAGGCCUUCGGGUUGUAAAGCACUUUUGUCCGGAAAGAAAUCCUUGGCUCUAAUACAGUCGGGGGAUGACGGUACCGGAAGAAUAAGCACCGGCUAACUACGUGCCAGCAGCCGCGGUAAUACGUAGGGUGCAAGCGUUAAUCGGAAUUACUGGGCGUAAAGCGUGCGCAGGCGGUUUGCUAAGACCGAUGUGAAAUCCCCGGGCUCAACCUGGGAACUGCAUUGGUGANUGGCAGGCUAGAGUAUGGCAGAGGGGGGUAGAAUUCCACGUNUAGCAGUGAAAUGCGUAGAGAUGUGGAGGAAUACCGAUGGCGAAGGCAGCCCCCUGGGCAAUACUGACGCUCAUGCACGAAAGCGUGGGGAGCAAACAGGAUUAGAUACCCUGGUAGUCCACGCCCUAAACGAUGUC
RNAcentral lists this ribosomal RNA (465 nucleotides) under uncultured bacterium. Its description in RNAcentral is "partial 16S ribosomal RNA". It matches the Rfam family "Bacterial small subunit ribosomal RNA", at positions 355 to 813 of the family's 1533-position model. The record is from RNAcentral.